AUUUCCAAGUCUUUCAACUAAACUAUAGAUUUAAACUCCCAGAUAUCAUAAACUCUCAUUCCCCAUCAACUCCUUCCAACCAAACAGGCCGCCAUUCCUCUUUCCUUGUCUUGCCAAACAGGCCCGAGACUUCCAGGUCCAAACCGCUGCUGCGCGCCCGUUCCCCAUCCGCCGCCGCCGAGCAGCCCCCUCCCCCAGGCAGCCGCGCGGACGGUGUUACCCGACUCACGGCCGGCUUUGCGCUUACUCCGGGUGGUGGCGGGUGCCCGCCUCCUGUAGGCCGCCCUCUUCCACCGCACGCAGCUGGGUUCUUCCAUCACCUGGAGGCUGGAGCGCUGCUGGUUCUCCCCCUCAUCGCCGCAUCAUCAGGAUAAUUUUGAAGCUCAAUUACAAGAGAAGGGGAUCCUGGCAGAUAUAGUUUGCUGUACGCAGCGUUUACAGGCAAGUUGGUUGUCCUCUGUAUCUGUAAUAUGAUUUACUUGUGAGUUUUGCUAGUCUUGACUGUUAAUCUAUGUCGAAAGACAGUAAUGUAUUGAGAGUGAGGAUACUGAGGAACAUGCACAGAAGCUUCUGAACAAUAUAUCUUCAUUACUCAAACUUAAGAGACAAGUUUGGGGCAUAUGAUUCCUGAUUCAUCUAUAAUAUGAUACGGACAUCUCAUGAAUUAUGUUCUUCUGUACACUGUUGUAAACACAAGGUCUAUGUGGCUGUAUACAAGGAACUGGUGCAACCUUCGACUGCUUAAGUGGCACAAGCAGUCACAUAUGCCUCAUAAGCGCUAAAACAUAGGUGACUGCUUGGUUAUUUUUUUUUCUUAAUGGCUCUUGUAUUAUAGAUUAUAAAAGGUUAGCCAGUGACAUACAUUUAUAAUUGCUAACAUAAAAAUUAUUACAAAGAAGAAUAGCACCCACACCUCAAUUCAGUUUACCCUAACUGUUGGAUGUUGCUAGAUAAGACAUGAGAUCUUGCAACACUUGAAUUAAAAAUAAUCCUAAAUGGCCCAGAUGAUAACCUCAUAGGCCCCGUUCUUUUCUUCAACAAGAGUUGGAUGAAGAAAAGGAUAUUGAUGAACUUCAUUAUCAAACAUUGUGUUUCAGAUGUUAUCGUGCAUCUCUCGGUAGACUAAUAUUAGGUUGCGCAAUGCAUUGAGGUUAAUAUCUUUAUGGGUUUAUUCCAUGUUGCCGUGUUGGACUAACCUCUCAUAGUUGAUUGUACUGCAUGAUGCUGACAACUCCUAAGAACUAAUUGAGGAGUUGAAGAAUUGAUUCCCUACAUUCAGCUUGAAGAUAAGUGGUUUCUGAGUAGUGCGCGUGCGGCAAGCGCAUGGCGGAUGUGACACAGUAACCACUCAGCCUGUAGAGCUAAUGCUUGCCAAGUGAUUUGAUUCAGUUAGUUUUAUUAAUUGGAGUUGGUUUGAUUGGAGGCUCUUUUAUUAAGGUUAGUUGAUAAAGGCCAGCUUGUCCCUUGUGCAUUUGAUUCUUGUCCGUUGCUUCAUGGUUGAAACUUGAAACCCCCUAACUGUUCCUUCUUCCUCAAUUCUUGUUGUUAGCUCGCUGAGCAUGAGUGGUAACUGAGUUUGGUUCUGCUAUACUUUCUCUAAAUUAAAUUCAGCGUGCAACAGGCUUGAGUAAUGGCAUGAUGAUAUUCUUCUGUUUUGCAUGAUAUUUCUGAUAUGUAGGACAAAAUAUUAAAAUAAUUUCAAGGCUUUACACGGUAAGGGUCAGGGUCUGACGACUGUUCCAAAUAGCAUUAGCUCGGAGAACUAUGUUGUUGCCUUUGAAAUUGAAAAAGAAAAGUAUCAUUUGAGCUGGUGCAUUUGAAUAUAUCUGAAAUUCCAGACCUUUUAUCUUCUGGGAUCCUAUGCAAAAUGGUGCAGGUUUCCUUUCGACGGAAAAAAGUACCAACUCAAAUUCGCAAAUUAAUCAAUGUUUGAGAAUCUGCCUGGUCCACUUCCCCAGCCUUAUGAGGUAGCACUUUCUUGUUUGUCUUCCACAAUUGUUGUACAGCCUUGUUGUCAUAAAACUCCCUUACAUAAAGCCUCUUAAAGUACAGCAACUUGUGGUAGAGUAUCACAAUGUUAUAUUAUGUUGAAACAGAUUAGCAAGCGAGGCAGCAUUAACAUGUAGAAAUCCAGAAUUUAACUGAGUUUUACUAUGACAAGAGGUGCCAAUAUCUUAUGCCAAGUUAUAUAUUGUUUUCUUCAAAUCAUUUUUGCUGUUUAUUUAGGGUAAUCAUUGUUAAGUUUUUUUAUUCAAAUGCUUAUUUUACAGUUUUACUUCAUUUAUAGCUGAUAGUUACCUUUUGUUUUUGUCUGACUGACUCCAGAACUCAAUUUGCUCCGUUGCUUGGUAGUUCUGGUGUUGUCGAAACAAGAUUUCGGCAAUAUAAAGGGGGUAGCGCACGAGACGUAAGAGUGGAUGGAUGCGGAGACAAUGAUUUAGACAGGUUCAGGCACUCUCGAUGAGAGGUGUGGUGCCAGUUUGGUGGAUCCUCGUGGAGAACUUUGCUCGUUCAUAUGAUAUUUAGGUGAUGUGCCCAUUCCCCUUCAGGACUUUUUUUUAAUGAACUAGCACGGACGGAGAGUUGCCAGAUAUAUUCUCUUCAGGUUUGUAUUCAACUUUUGUUUUCCAGAAGCCUGACCCAGAUGCGAUGCCAACAAUUCUGACGCCCAAUUUGCCUGACCCUGAGAAUGCUCAGGAAGUGGGAUGCCUCCGGAGGCAGCAGGCAUCAGUGGACGAUGGAAAGGGCUCAGAGCCUCAGAUGCUGAUCGAUAUGAUUCCCAUGGAAUGGUCAGAAGGGUAUCUCUGGUCGUCCCCGGGCCUGCUGAUAUCAGUGGACAUAGAAGGGGCUCAGAUGCUGAUUGUAAUUCCCAUGGAUCGUGCGAAGAGCAUCCUUGGUCCUCGGCCUGCAGAUGUGAGGCUUUAGAGUUUACUGAUGAAUACUUAGGCAUAGGCGCAUGGCUGAACUUGGAGUUGGCUAUGUGCAUCCUUUGCAUAUAUGCCGGGUAUUUAGGGUAUAUAAUCAUCUUCCUUAUCUCUACUACUAUAUACUCCCUCCAUCCCUAAAUUUAAGGAAUUGAGCCUGUUCAAAUUCGUUGUAAUAGGAUAUAUCACAUUCAACUAAAAUCUUUUAUAUUUAGGGACGGAUGGAGUACAAAUCUUUCAUCCCCUCUUUUCAUCGUGUGCAGCACGUCCGCAUGUGGAACCACUAUAUCCAAUGUCUUAUUAUCAAUCACUCUUUUUUGUUUUUCAUAACCUCAAGUAUUUUAA
Molecule: long non-coding RNA, 3269 nt
Organism: Oryza sativa Japonica Group (Japanese rice)
Lineage: Eukaryota; Viridiplantae; Streptophyta; Magnoliopsida; Poales; Poaceae
Source: RefSeq, a predicted model, not a curated record